UUUGCUUAGAGGGCAAAGAGGGAGGUGCUGCACACCAGAGUGACCGUAACACACUGGCAAGAGCAUCUGUGCCUUAUUGAUGCUAAAAGGAAUCCUACAGCUUCCUUGCUUGCUCCAGUAAAUCUGCAUCUGAGUUUUUAUUUUACUAUAAACUAGACUCCUAAAAGCUUUGGAGUGUCUAAUUAGAUUGGAAACUAGGCGCACACACAUUUCCUGGUGGGUUUUGUGCAUCUCCUGAUCUGUGUGUAUGUGCACAUGUAGAUAUGUGUGUUUUAUAUAUGUGUGUAUGUGUAACUAUACACACAAAACUCAUGAAGUAUCAUAGCUGAAAAAGAGAAGCAAGAAGUUGUUAAUCAAAAGAUUAAGAUGCACAGUAAGACUAUUUAAAAAGAGAAGAAAUUGGACGUUGCAUGUACACUCUUACAGUUAACAUGCUUAAAGGAUCUGUGACCUAAGGAUUGUCAGUGAUGAUUUCAAGUCAAGUUUUAAGAUACUAACAUGAAAAAUGUUAGUGGAAAACUUUCAGAAAUUACUAGCAAAUGGAAAAGCUUCAUUCUAACAACCCAAUUCGGGUUCCCAGUGAAGGGACCAAACACAAACCCCUAGGUGGCAUAAACCAGAUUUGUUUCAAAAGUGAUUAAAAGCGGAUGCUUCAUACACGAUUCAAAAGUAUGACACAAACCAUAGCUGGGACGGGCUUCUUUUUUUCCAAACUCAGUUUUCUCUCAAUAAAGGUUGCACUGCUGUUUUCUUUUACAAAAUUCAGCUUGUGAAUUUCCUCCAUCAGCUGAUUCUGCACUUCACAGAUGCUUGAGGAAGACAGCUGCAAACACAAAGCUACAAGCGACUGUAAAGUGCUGUGUGCAACUGCUGCUGGAAAGGAAUACUCCACAAGACCUAACUACAAUGUGUUUCAUAUGUAGAGUCUUGUCCAGUCACAGUCACCUAAAUGUGGCUCCAUUUCAGGAAAAGAUGCAAAGACCACCAUGGAUUGUUCAUUGAGAACAUCUGCUCAUUAUGCAAGCUUCUACAAAGGAGGAUGUCUUCCAUAGUGGAUGUGGUCACCACUGCAGUGAUAGAGGAAUUGCUUUUCUGCACUUUAUAGA
This is a long non-coding RNA of Rhea pennata, 1106 nucleotides long. RefSeq lists it as uncharacterized. NCBI's taxonomy places the organism in Eukaryota, Metazoa, Chordata, Aves, Rheiformes, Rheidae. The transcript has 4 exons. The record is from RefSeq and is a predicted model, not a curated record.